CUGAGAGGUUGAAACGGCCACAUUGGGACUGAGACACGGCCCAGACUCCUACGGGAGGCAGCAGUGGGGGAUAUUGCGCAAUGCGGGAAACCCUGACGCAGCAACGCCGCGUGAAGGAUGAAGGUCUUCGGAUUGUAAACUUCUUUUAUUAAGGACGAAGAAAGUGACGGUACUUAAUGAAUUAAGCUCCGGCUAAUUACGUGC
Molecule: ribosomal RNA, 204 nt
Filed under: uncultured Bacillota bacterium
Lineage: Bacteria; Bacillati; Bacillota
Description: uncultured Firmicutes bacterium partial 16S ribosomal RNA
Rfam family: Bacterial small subunit ribosomal RNA
Source: RNAcentral